RNAcentral lists this ribosomal RNA (445 nucleotides) under uncultured bacterium. Its description in RNAcentral is "bacterial SSU rRNA". It matches the Rfam family "Bacterial small subunit ribosomal RNA", at positions 354 to 796 of the family's 1533-position model. The record is from RNAcentral.
GUAAGGAAUAUUGGACAAUGGCCGCAAGGCUGAUCCAGCCAUGCCGCGUGCAGGAAGACGGACCUAUGGUUUGUAAACUGCUUUUGAACUAGAGAAAACCCCUUUACGUGUAAAGGGCUGAUAGUAUAGUUAGAAUAAGCAUCGGCUAACUUCGUGCCAGCAGCCGCGGUAAGACGAAGGAUGCAAGCGUUAUCCGGAUUCAUUGGGUUUAAAGGGAGCGUAGGCGGAUCUGUAAGUCAGUGGUGAAAUCUCUUCGCUUAACGAAGAAACUGCCAUUGAUACUGCAGAUCUAGAGUACAGUUGCCGUUGGCGGAAUAUGACAUGUAGUGGUGAAAUACUUAGAUAUGUCAUAGAACACCGAUUGCGAAGGCAGCUAACGAAGCUGUAACUGACGCUGAGGCUCGAAAGUGCGGGGAUCAAACAGGAUUAGAUACCCUAGUAGUCC